AUCAUACUCCCUCCGUCCGGAAAUACUUGUCCUAGAAAUGGACAUAAUGGAUGUAUCUAUAACUAAAAUAAGUCUAGAUACAUUUAUCUUAGGACAAGUAUUUUCGGACGGAGGGAGUAUGUU
Molecule: non-coding RNA, 123 nt
Organism: Hordeum vulgare subsp. vulgare (domesticated barley)
Lineage: Eukaryota; Viridiplantae; Streptophyta; Magnoliopsida; Poales; Poaceae
Source: Rfam